UACAGAGGUCCCAAGCGUUGUUCGGAUUCACUGGGCGUAAAGGGUGCGUAGGUGGUUGGGUAAGUCUGAUGUGAAAUCUCCGGGCUCAACCCGGAAAUGGCAUUGGAUACUAUUCGGCUAGAGGGUUGGAGGGGGGACUGGAAUUCUCGGUGUAGCAGUGAAAUGCGUAGAUAUCGAGAGGAACACCAGUGGCGAAGGCGAGUCCCUGGACAACACCUGACACUGAGGCACGAAAGCUAGGGGAGCAAACAGG
RNAcentral lists this ribosomal RNA (253 nucleotides) under uncultured bacterium. RNAcentral's name for it is "partial 16S ribosomal RNA". It matches the Rfam family "Bacterial small subunit ribosomal RNA", at positions 524 to 776 of the family's 1533-position model. The record is from RNAcentral.